Molecule: transfer RNA, 29 nt
Filed under: Hypostomus sp. BR 98-748
Lineage: Eukaryota; Metazoa; Chordata; Actinopteri; Siluriformes; Loricariidae
Description: partial transfer RNA-Pro
Source: RNAcentral
GCUAGGAUUCUAAACUAAACUAUUUUCUG